AGGAGACUCUCGAUAUCCCUGACGACAACAUCUGUCAGGAGGAAGAGCUGAUAGUGGAGGUGAGCGCCGACACCCGCCCCUCCCACUACCAGGAAUCUUUAGAUGAGAGCCCUCAGCUUAACACCUGUGAGAGGGAACGAGAUCAAACAGAUUCCACCAUCAUUGAAUCUGUCGUGGAGGAGCCCACGGAAGAGCCCAAGCCACCGUUCUGCCUGGUAAGCAGUAAAGGAGAUGGUAC
Molecule: long non-coding RNA, 238 nt
Organism: Xenopus tropicalis (tropical clawed frog)
Lineage: Eukaryota; Metazoa; Chordata; Amphibia; Anura; Pipidae
Exons: 4
Source: RefSeq, a predicted model, not a curated record